Molecule: long non-coding RNA, 1103 nt
Filed under: Monodelphis domestica (gray short-tailed opossum)
Lineage: Eukaryota; Metazoa; Chordata; Mammalia; Didelphimorphia; Didelphidae
Description: lncRNA (ENSMODG00000048614.1)
Source: RNAcentral
CCCAAAUUGCUUACUGCCAAAACCCCUCAAAUUCUUAAUACCAACAUUCUUCAAGUAGCAUUAAAGAUGACAUCAAGAAUCUAGGUAUGACCUGAAAAGGAAGUAGGUUGUUGGUCAUAUAGGAAGAAGGAAGGUUGGAGGCUUGAGUGCUUUACUAGUAUCUGCAAAUAUUUGGAGUGUUGUUGUUGUUGAGUUUUUCAUGUAUGUCUAACUCUUCGUGACUCCAUUUGGGUUUUUUUUGGGCAAAAAUAUUAGAGUGGUUUGCCAUUUCCUUCUCCAGCUCACUUGACAUAUGAGGAAACUGAGGCACACAGGUUAAGUAAUUUGCUUGGGAUUACAUAACUAAUAAGUGUCUGGGGCCAGAUUUGAACUAAGGAAGAUGAGUCUUCCUGACUCCAGGUCCUGCACUCUAUCCACUGAGACACCUCGCUGCCCAACAAUGGCCCUUAAGUCAAAAAAUGAGUUUAAGGGGGCAGCUGUGUAGCUCAGUGGAUUGAGAGCCAGACCUAGAGAUGGGAGGUCCUAGAUUCAAAUCUGGCCUUAGACACUUCCCAGCUGCGUGACCCUGGACAAGUCACUUGACUCUCUUUGCCUAGCCCUUACUACUCUUCUACCUUGGAACCAAUACACAGUAUUGAUUCUAAGAUGGAAGGUAAGGGUUUUUUAAAAAGAGUUUAAAUCUUAGCUCUGUUACUUAUGACCUGGGACUAGUCAUUUAUUUCCUCUCUGGAUUUCUGUUUCUACCUUUAUAAAGUGUGGAGGUUGGAUUAGGAGAAAUAACAUUUUUCCAGGGGGUACUGCCAUCUAACACAAGAAACUCAGCCACCCUGGCUAGGUUGCCUUCUUGUCCUGGAACACUCCUCUACCAUCCCUUCCUGGAUGAGUGAACUGGUGAGUUCCAUCUAGAGACCUUCAUUUGGGGGAAGGAUCUAGACCAGCCAUAUUUCAUUCCCUCAUAGUUGUGCUUCUGACCCUCCUGGUCUUUGCCACUAUUCCCAUGAGUAGGUAACUUCCUACCCUCCUCCCUGUCCCCUACAGCUUUUUAGCUCCCCCCUUUUUAUCAAUGAACAAAUAAACAUUUAUUGAGCACCUAUUUUGUGCCA